AAGGGAGACCUAAUUCCAGUAGGAGACGAAAAAAAGUAGUCCCUACCAAGAAUCAAUCCCAAAAGGUCGGAGCGAGGCAAAAUUGGCUUUCAAACUAGGUUCUGGGUUCACACAAGACCUGGAUCAGGAGCAAGGGCUAUUAGCUCAGGUGGUUAGAGCGCACCCCUGAUAAGGGUGAGGUCCCUGGUUCGAGUCCAGGAUGGCCCACCUGCACAGGUGGCAAAAACAAGAGAAGCGAGGAAUCAGCACCUUAUCUUAUAUACAUAUAUAAGAGAGAAUGCUGGCUCUGAGUACAGAGUCCAGAGGAACCUUGAAAACUGCAUAGAGCUAGGUGAAAAAGCCAAAAAAGAAGACCGCAAGGUCAAGCUAAUAAGGGCUAACGGUGGAUACCUAGGCAC
Molecule: transfer RNA, 398 nt
Filed under: uncultured Microcystis sp.
Lineage: Bacteria; Bacillati; Cyanobacteriota; Cyanophyceae; Chroococcales; Microcystaceae
Description: partial contains 16S-23S ribosomal RNA intergenic spacer, and 23S ribosomal RNA
Rfam family: tRNA (bases 134-207)
Source: RNAcentral